UGGUGCUUGCAUCAUGAUUUACAUUUGAGUGAGUGGCGAACUGGUGAGUAACACGUGGGAAACCUGCCCAGAAGCGGGGGAUAACACCUGGAAACAGAUGCUAAUACCGCAUAACAACUUGGACCGCAUGGUCCGAGCUUGAAAGAUGGCUUCGGCUAUCACUUUUGGAUGGUCCCGCGGCGUAUUAGCUAGAUGGUGGGGUAACGGCUCACCAUGGCAAUGAUACGUAGCCGACCUGAGAGGGUAAUCGGCCACAUUGGGACUGAGACACGGCCCAAACUCCUACGGGAGGCAGCAGUAGGGAAUCUUCCACAAUGGACGAAAGUCUGAUGGAGCAACGCCGCGUGAGUGAAGAAGGGUUUCGGCUCGUAAAACUCUGUUGUUAAAGAAGAACAUAUCUGAGAGUAACUGUUCAGGUAUUGACGGUAUUUAACCAGAAAGCCACGGCUAACUACGUGCCAGCAGCCGCGGUAAUACGUAGGUGGCAAGCGUUGUCCGGAUUUAUUGGGCGUAAAGCGAGCGCAGGCGGUUUUUUAAGUCUGAUGUGAAAGCCUUCGGCUCAACCGAAGAAGUGCAUCGGAAACUGGGAAACUUGAGUGCAGAAGAGGACAGUGGAACUCCAUGUGUAGCGGUGAAAUGCGUAGAUAUAUGGAAGAACACCAGUGGCGAAGGCGGCUGUCUGGUCUGUAACUGACGCUGAGGCUCGAAAGUAUGGGUAGCAAACAGGAUUAGAUACCCUGGUAGUCCAUACCGUAAACGAUGAAUGCUAAGUGUUGGAGGGUUUCCGCCCUUCAGUGCUGCAGCUAACGCAUUAAGCAUUCCGCCUGGGGAGUACGGCCGCAAGGCUGAAACUCAAAGGAAUUGACGGGGGCCCGCACAAGCGGUGGAGCAUGUGGUUUAAUUCGAAACUACGCGAAAAAACCUUACCAGGUCUUGACAUACUAUGCAAAUCUAAGAGAUUAGACGUUCCCCUUCGGGGACAUGGAUACAGGUGGUGCAUGGUUUGUCGUCAGCUCGUGUCG
RNAcentral lists this ribosomal RNA (1022 nucleotides) under Lactiplantibacillus plantarum. RNAcentral describes it as "bacterial SSU rRNA". It matches the Rfam family "Bacterial small subunit ribosomal RNA", at positions 62 to 1067 of the family's 1533-position model. Lineage: Bacteria; Bacillati; Bacillota; Bacilli; Lactobacillales; Lactobacillaceae. The record is from RNAcentral.